GGAAGAUGCUGCCUAGUGGAGGGCAACUUGUCCUGAAAACAAGAGCAGGGUAAUACCUGGGGGUUCGAUUCCUCCAUCUUCCU
This 83-nucleotide transfer RNA is filed under the name Scytonema millei VB511283. RNAcentral's name for it is "tRNA-Ser". It matches the Rfam family "tRNA". Rfam says of the family: Transfer RNA (tRNA) molecules are approximately 80 nucleotides in length. Their secondary structure includes four short double-helical elements and three loops (D, anti-codon, and T loops). Further hydrogen bonds mediate the characteristic L-shaped molecular structure. tRNAs have two regions of fundamental functional importance: the anti-codon, which is responsible for specific mRNA codon recognition, and the 3' end, to which the tRNAs corresponding amino acid is attached (by aminoacyl-tRNA synthetases). tRNAs cope with the degeneracy of the genetic code in two manners: having more than one tRNA (with a specific anti-codon) for a particular amino acid; and 'wobble' base-pairing, i.e. permitting non-standard base-pairing at the 3rd anti-codon position. Lineage: Bacteria; Bacillati; Cyanobacteriota; Cyanophyceae; Nostocales; Scytonemataceae. The record is from RNAcentral.